UACGAAGGGGGGCUAGCGUUGUUCGGAAUUACUGGGCGUAAAGGGCGCGUAGGCGGUCCUGAUCGUCGGAUGUGAAAGGCCUGGGCUCAACCUGGGAACUGCAUCCGAUACGGCGGGACUGGAGUGUGGGAGAGGUUGGUGGAAUUCCCAGUGUAGAGGUGAAAUUCGUAGAUAUUGGGAAGAACACCGGUGGCGAAGGCGGCCAACUGGACCACAACUGACGCUGAGGCGCGAAAAGCGUGGGGAGCAAACAGG
This 255-nucleotide ribosomal RNA is filed under the name uncultured bacterium. RNAcentral's name for it is "partial 16S ribosomal RNA". It matches the Rfam family "Bacterial small subunit ribosomal RNA", at positions 524 to 776 of the family's 1533-position model. The record is from RNAcentral.